UGUUGUUCAACAUAAUUUCUCUUAUGGUUGCAUUGUUUCAUCUACAGCAAUCUUUGCUAUCAAACAACAUUUGAGCUCGUAGGGUUAUCAGACAAUAAAUGAAUAUAAUACUGGGUAACAAAUCUACUUUCUCCAUUAUGCAUACUCAGGAUUGAGUGCCAAGGCCUCUCUGUAAAUCAUUUCCUUCAUCUGCUCUUCUACCAAGGGCUGUUGC
RNAcentral lists this unclassified non-coding RNA (214 nucleotides) under Hevea brasiliensis (rubber tree). The record is from RNAcentral. Lineage: Eukaryota; Viridiplantae; Streptophyta; Magnoliopsida; Malpighiales; Euphorbiaceae.